Molecule: ribosomal RNA, 600 nt
Filed under: Aspergillus niger
Lineage: Eukaryota; Fungi; Ascomycota; Eurotiomycetes; Eurotiales; Aspergillaceae
Description: eukaryotic LSU rRNA
Rfam family: 5.8S ribosomal RNA (bases 218-371)
Source: RNAcentral
UUCCGUAGGUGAACCUGCGGAAGGAUCAUUACCGAGUGCGGGUCCUUUGGGCCCAACCUCCCAUCCGUGUCUAUUGUACCCUGUUGCUUCGGCGGGCCCGCCGCUUGUCGGCCGCCGGGGGGGCGCCUCUGCCCCCCGGGCCCGUGCCCGCCGGAGACCCCAACACGAACACUGUCUGAAAGCGUGCAGUCUGAGUUGAUUGAAUGCAAUCAGUUAAAACUUUCAACAAUGGAUCUCUUGGUUCCGGCAUCGAUGAAGAACGCAGCGAAAUGCGAUAACUAAUGUGAAUUGCAGAAUUCAGUGAAUCAUCGAGUCUUUGAACGCACAUUGCGCCCCCUGGUAUUCCGGGGGGCAUGCCUGUCCGAGCGUCAUUGCUGCCCUCAAGCCCGGCUUGCGUGUUGGGUCGCCGUCCCCCUCUCCGGGGGGACGGGCCCGAAAGGCAGCGGCGGCACCGCGUCCGAUCCUCGAGCGUAUGGGGCUUUGUCACAUGCUCUGUAGGAUUGGCCGGCGCCUGCCGACGUUUUCCAACCAUUCUUUCCAGGUUGACCUCGGAUCAGGUAGGGAUACCCGCUGAACUUAAGCAUAUCAAUAAGCGGAGGA